This is a long non-coding RNA of Oncorhynchus tshawytscha (Chinook salmon), 1397 nucleotides long. The record is from Ensembl. Lineage: Eukaryota; Metazoa; Chordata; Actinopteri; Salmoniformes; Salmonidae.
CUUUCUUUCUAUCCUUCUUUCUUUCUUUCUUUCUUUCUUUCUUUCUUUCUUUCCUUCUUUCUUUCUUUCUUUCUUUCUUUCUUUCUUUCUAUCCUUCUUUCUUUCUUUCUAUCUUUUUCUCUCUCUCUCUCUCCCUCUCUCUCUCUCUCUCUUUACCUCCUCCUCUUUUAUUGGCACGACUGCUUGUUUUGAAAAGCUGCAUAAACUCCGGCAUAUUUUCCAUGACUUCAGCCCUGCUCAGAAACCUGCUGAACCCGUCUGUCCUAGUGACUGUGUCUGGAGUCUGGAGUAGGAAGGAUGUCCUAGCGACUGGGUCUGGAGUCUGGAGUAGGGAGGAUGGCCUAGCGACUGGGUCUGGAGGCUGGUAGGGAGGAUGGCCUAGCGACUGUGUCUGGAGGCUGGUAGGGAGGAUGGCCUAGCGACUGUGUCUGGAGGCUGGUAGGGAGGAUGUCCUAGCGACUGGGUCUGGAGGCUGGUAGGGAGGAUGGCCUAGCGACUGGGUCUGGAGGCUGGUAGGGAGGAUGGCCUAGCGACUAACCCGGCCCUGGUCUGGAGCAGGGAUGGAGAGGGAGAGAAAGGGGCACAGAGCAGCCCCAUAAAGACUCAUCCCUGGGAAAAUGAACAUGGAGGAAAGGAGGGUGGGGUAAGCAGCACAGUGUGACAUGUUUACGUUAGCUAGCAUCGUCAUUGUGGAAGGAGAUCUCUAGUGUAUGCAGCCUGGGAAACUGGAGAGGACUGGAUGGGAGGAGCUACAGUAACAUAAACACCUGUUCACUGACAGUCACACACCUAUACACCUCAGUGAGGGAACACACGUGUUUUGUAGAAAGUAAUAACAUGUUUACUCUCUGAUUUGAUUCAAUGCUCUACUGUUUUCAUUCACUUGUCUUAAAGGAUGUAUAUUCAUAGUAGCUAUUGACUCACAGUUUGUAUGUUCUGUUCAUUUGUGUGUUUGGGUCCAGACAGAGCUUUGCUAUGGGCUUGAAGUCACUUUCAGUUCUCUAUCUGGUCAUCCAGUUUUUCGCCCCAGCAGGGAACCCGACAUUCAGCCAACCACACCCCCCUCACCCCUCCUCUCCUCUGUUAGUCUCAGUAUUGGAGCUAAUAGACCUGUCAUUUAGUGGCGUGUUUAAGGGAUUUGUCUCUAGGCAUGUUUCCACUCUGUUCAUUGAUGUUCAUUUGAUGUGGAAAUGAUGACUGAAAUGAGCAUGAAUAUUAAAUUCCUCAGGAGAGCUGCAUGCUGCUAUUCCAUCUGAAUAGAAUAUCUUCCUUUCAGCACUUAAUUCUCUCUCACACACACACUCUCUCUCUCUCUCUUUCAGGGAAACAUUUACAAAUGCUCGUAUCCGUGGUGACAGGCAGCCAAUCAACCUGUAAUUCCGCACCUCCCUCCCUCC